This is a long non-coding RNA of Xenopus laevis (African clawed frog), 609 nucleotides long. RefSeq lists it as uncharacterized. The record is from RefSeq and is a predicted model, not a curated record. Lineage: Eukaryota; Metazoa; Chordata; Amphibia; Anura; Pipidae. The transcript has 3 exons.
CUGAAGAUAACAAGCAGACAGCUCAAAAAACAGCAAAGAGCUGCAGCGUCAAAUCACGGAGUCGGUUAUUUGAAUAUCCCACCCACAUUUUGUGGGUCCUGUUGAUGAGUUGCAGGGAAGGAUUUCUUUAUCUACAGUUAAGAAAUGUGACUGGCUGCUUUCCAGAUUCCAACUCCCCUAAAACCACAGCAGCAAGAAGAACACUAGCAGUUCUGCCCAUACGAAACCUAUGCUAGCCUGAACGGUUGCCUUUACAAGAAUUACGCACAGUGUGGCCCUGCAUACUUCGCCUGCUAAUCUCCGCAAUACUUUGUUAUGGCAUCAACAAUAACAGCAGGACUGCUGCAACAAGAGAAAGGAUAUGGACAUUCUGUUUAUACAACAUUGUAUCUAUAAAGGUAGCCAUGUCUUGUUUGUUGUUUACAAUUUUUUCUUUUUUUUCUUUGAACUUUUUCUGUCAGUUUGUGUUUUUCUCAUUAGCCUAUAGAUGGCGUUGUGUAAAAUAGUAUAAAGCUGUAUGACCUCUAAGUGAUCAGUUUGGACCUGAAACGUUGUUGCUUGUUGGAGAUUUACGCCAUGUAAACUAAUAAAGGCUUUUUGUUGAUUCUA